This 72-nucleotide transfer RNA is filed under the name Bacteroidales bacterium. RNAcentral describes it as "tRNA-Ile". It matches the Rfam family "tRNA". Rfam says of the family: Transfer RNA (tRNA) molecules are approximately 80 nucleotides in length. Lineage: Bacteria; Pseudomonadati; Bacteroidota; Bacteroidia; Bacteroidales. The record is from RNAcentral.
GGGCCCGUAGCUCAGUGGCAGAGCAGACGGCUCAUAACCGUUAGGUUGAAGGUUCGAAUCCUUCCGGGCCCA